This 86-nucleotide transfer RNA is filed under the name Johnevansia muelleri (SeqCode). Its description in RNAcentral is "Candidatus Johnevansia muelleri tRNA-Ser (GCT) (tRNA-Ser-GCT-1-1)". It matches the Rfam family "tRNA". Rfam says of the family: Transfer RNA (tRNA) molecules are approximately 80 nucleotides in length. Their secondary structure includes four short double-helical elements and three loops (D, anti-codon, and T loops). Further hydrogen bonds mediate the characteristic L-shaped molecular structure. tRNAs have two regions of fundamental functional importance: the anti-codon, which is responsible for specific mRNA codon recognition, and the 3' end, to which the tRNAs corresponding amino acid is attached (by aminoacyl-tRNA synthetases). tRNAs cope with the degeneracy of the genetic code in two manners: having more than one tRNA (with a specific anti-codon) for a particular amino acid; and 'wobble' base-pairing, i.e. permitting non-standard base-pairing at the 3rd anti-codon position. The record is from Rfam by way of RNAcentral. Lineage: Bacteria; Pseudomonadati; Pseudomonadota; Gammaproteobacteria; Johnevansiales (SeqCode); Johnevansiaceae (SeqCode).
GGAGAGGUGGCCGAGUGGUUUAAGGCGCUCCCCUGCUAAGGGAGUAUAGUUUUACUCUAUCGAGGGUUCAAAUCCCUCUCUCUCCG